UGGAUUGGAGGACGAGAUGAUUGAGCAUGCCCUACUUCGCUAUCCGCGGGUGUACUUGAUCUAGGAGAUGGCAAAAGGUCAACCCUAGAGAGCUAUGACUGACUCCUGACUUUCCUUAUUUUUGGACAUGAUCCAUCAUUGCACGGUAGAGGAUCAGGCUGUUGGUGGCAGGAUGGCAUAUAUUGCUUAUCACAUCUAGUCGUCCAAGAAUACCUUAGUUUUCGACAUCAAGAUUGUGCCUGCGCAUCG
This 249-nucleotide long non-coding RNA is filed under the name Elaeis guineensis (African oil palm). RNAcentral describes it as "long non-coding RNA (EGUI_LNC079704)". The record is from RNAcentral. Lineage: Eukaryota; Viridiplantae; Streptophyta; Magnoliopsida; Arecales; Arecaceae.